GAGUGCAGAAGAGGAGAGUGGAAUUCCACGUGUAGCGGUGAAAUGCGUAGAGAUGUGGAGGAACACCAGUGGCGAAGGCGACUCUCUGGUCUGUAACUGACGCUGAGGAGCGAAAGCGUGGGGAGCGAACAGGAUUAGAUACCCUGGUAGUCCACGCCGUAAACGAUGAGUGCUAAGUGUUAGGGGGUUUCCGCCCCUUAGUGCUGCAGCUAACGCAUUAAGCACUCCGCCUGGGGAGUACGGUCGCAAGACUGAAACUCAAAGGAAUUGACGGGGGCCCGCACAAGCGGUGGAGCAUGUGGUUUAAUUCGAAGCAACGCGAAGAACCUUACCAGGUCUUGACAUCCUCUGACAAUCCUAGAGAUAGGACGUCCCCUUCGGGGGCAGAGUGACAGGUGGUGCAUGGUUGUCGUCAGCUCGUGUCGUGAGAUGUUGGGUUAAGUCCCGCAACGAGCGCAACCCUUGAUCUUAGUUGCCAGCAUUCAGUUGGGCACUCUAAGGUGACUGCCGGUGACAAACCGGAGGAAGGUGGGGAUGACGUCAAAUCAUCAUGCCCCUUAUGACCUGGGCUACACACGUGCUACAAUGGACAGAACAAAGGGCAGCGAAACCGCGAGGUUAAGCCAAUCCCACAAAUCUGUUCUCAGUUCGGAUGCGCAGUCUGCAACUCGACUGCGUGAAGCUGGAAUCGCUAGUAAUCGC
RNAcentral lists this ribosomal RNA (702 nucleotides) under Bacillus subtilis. RNAcentral describes it as "bacterial SSU rRNA". It matches the Rfam family "Bacterial small subunit ribosomal RNA", at positions 644 to 1345 of the family's 1533-position model. The record is from RNAcentral. Lineage: Bacteria; Bacillati; Bacillota; Bacilli; Caryophanales; Bacillaceae.